RNAcentral lists this ribosomal RNA (433 nucleotides) under uncultured bacterium. RNAcentral describes it as "partial 16S ribosomal RNA". It matches the Rfam family "Bacterial small subunit ribosomal RNA", at positions 29 to 507 of the family's 1533-position model. The record is from RNAcentral.
AACGAACGCUGGCGGCAUGCCUAACACAUGCAAGUCGAACGAGACCUUCGGGUCUAGUGGCGCACGGGUGCGUAACGCGUGGGAACCUGCCCUUAGGUUCGGAAUAACUCCCCGAAAGGGGUGCUAAUACCGGAUAAUGUCUUCGGACCAAAGAUUUAUCGCCUUUGGAUGGGCCCGCGUUGGAUUAGCUAGUUGGUAGGGUAAAAGCCUACCAAGGCGACGAUCCAUAGCUGGUCUGAGAGGAUGAUCAGCCACACUGGGACUGAGACACGGCCCAGACUCCUACGGGAGGAAGCAGUGGGGAAUAUUGGACAAUGGGCGAAAGGCUGAUCCAGCAAUGCCGCGUGAGUGAUGAAGGCCGUAGGGUUGUAAAGCUCUUUUAACCGGGAUGAUAAUGACAGUACCGGGAGAAUAAGCUCCGGCUAACUCCGUG